CCUACGGGCGGCAGCAGUGGGGGAUAUUGCACAAUGGGGGAAACCCUGAUGCAGCGACGCCGCGUGUAGGAAGACGGUCCUCUGGAUUGUAAACUACUGUCCCCAGGGACGAAGAUGACGGUACCUGGGGAGGAAGCUCCGGCUAACUACGUGCCAGCAGCCGCGGUAAUACGUAGGGAGCGAGCGUUGUCCGGAAUUACUGGGUGUAAAGGGAGCGUAGGCGGGGAUGCAAGUUGGGUGUUAAAUCUACGGGCUCAACUGGGAGUCGCACUCAAAACUGCAGCUCUUGAGUGAAGUAGAGGCAGGCGGAAUGCCUAGUGUAGCGGUGAAAUGCGUAGAUAUUAGGAGGAACACCAGUGGCGAAGGCGGCCUGCUGGGCUUUUACUGACGCUGAGGCUCGAAAGUGUGGGGAGCAAACAGGAUUAGAUACCCCGGUAGUC
This 440-nucleotide ribosomal RNA is filed under the name uncultured bacterium. RNAcentral describes it as "partial 16S ribosomal RNA". It matches the Rfam family "Bacterial small subunit ribosomal RNA", at positions 338 to 795 of the family's 1533-position model. The record is from RNAcentral.